This 390-nucleotide long non-coding RNA is filed under the name Olea europaea (common olive). RNAcentral's name for it is "long non-coding RNA (OEUR_LNC006445)". The record is from RNAcentral. Lineage: Eukaryota; Viridiplantae; Streptophyta; Magnoliopsida; Lamiales; Oleaceae.
GUCGCCCAAGGUGUCAACAAACAUAACGCAUCGUAAUUAUCAAGGAAUGCAAUUAUUAAGGCAGUUGUUAAAGUAGCCUUAUCACGUUCCACAACUCAAGGAAGUCAAUCGAAGGCAGUUGGACGAUGAAAGAUAAUGGCAGCAGUUAAAAGGCGGUUUCAUGACAAAAUGACCACUACAAAGAAAGUGGGUAGUUAUAGGACGAUCAAGCAGUUUUCAGAGUAGUUAAUCACAAAGAGAUCGUCUAUGAGGUAUAAAAGGGAGAAAAGGCGUAGAAGCAAAGGACCGAAUCCAAAACUCUCGAACAAGAGAAUAUGUAAUUUUCAUUUCUUUAGCUUUUAGACUUAAGUACUUUCCUUUCUGUAACUCGUGUGCUUGCGCCCCUUGGAG